GACGAACGCUGGCGGCGUGCUUAACACAUGCAAGUCGAACGAAGAGCGAUGGAAGCUUGCUUCUAUCAAUCUUAGUGGCGAACGGGUGAGUAACGCGUAAUCAACCUGCCCUUCAGAGGGGGACAACAGUUGGAAACGACUGCUAAUACCGCAUACGAUCCAAUCUCGGCAUCGGGACUGGAUGAAAGGUGGCCUCUAUUUAUAAGCUAUCACUGAAGGAGGGGAUUGCGUCUGAUUAGCUAGUUGGUGGGGUAACGGCCCACCAAGGCGAUGAUCAGUAGCCGGUCUGAGAGGAUGAACGGCCACAUUGGGACUGAGACACGGCCCAGACUCCUACGGGAGGCAGCAGUGGGGAAUCUUCCGCAAUGGACGAAAGUCUGACGGAGCAACGCCGCGUGAGUGAUGACGGCCUUCGGGUUGUAAAGCUCUGUUAAUCGGGACGAAUGGUUCUUGUGCGAAUAGUGCGAGGAUUUGACGGUACCGGAAUAGAAAGCCACGGCUAACUACGUG
RNAcentral lists this ribosomal RNA (510 nucleotides) under uncultured bacterium. RNAcentral describes it as "partial 16S ribosomal RNA". It matches the Rfam family "Bacterial small subunit ribosomal RNA", at positions 28 to 507 of the family's 1533-position model. The record is from RNAcentral.